UGGAUCCCAGGGAUUUCCCAGGGAAGGAUUUCUCCCAGUGGAUCCCGGGGGCUGCUCCAGCAGAGGAUUGUUCCGGGCGGAUCCCGGGAGCUCUUCGGGAAGGAUUGGUCGGGGCAGAUCCCAGGGAUUCCCCUCGAUCCCAGCGGGAUCCCGAUGGGAGCGGGGAGAGCGAGGAGAGAUCCGGGAGCGCUCCCAGGGAAGGAUUCCCCAGGUGGAUCCCCGGGGAUCGAGAACUUUGGGAUCUGGAAUUCCCCCUGGAUCGAGAACUUUGGGAUCCCCAGGGAUCGAGAACUUUGGGAUCUGGUAUUCCUCAUGGAAUGAGAACUUUGGGAUCACCGGGGAUCGAGAACUUUGGGAUCCCCUUGGAUCAAAAACUUUGGGAUCCCCAAAUCCCCCUGGAUCAAGAACUCUGGGAUGUGGAAUUCCCCAUGAACUGAGAACUUUGGGAUCCCCCUGGAAUGAGAACUUUGGGAUCCCCAGGGAUCAAAAACUUUGGGAUCCUCUUGGAAUGAGAACUUUGGGAUCCCCAGAUCCCCCUGGAAUGAGAACUCUGGGAUCUGAAAUUCCCCAGGGAUCAAGAGCUUUGGGAUCCCCAGGGAUCGAGAACUUUGGGAUCUGGAAUUCCCCAUGAACUGAGAACUUUGGGAUCCCUCUGGAAUGAGAACUUUGGGAUCCCCAGAUCCCCCUGGAUCGAGAACUCUGGGAUCUGGAAUUCCCCAUGGAUCGAGAACUUUGGGAUCCCCCUGGAUCGAGAACUUUGGGAUCUGGAAUUCCUCAUGGAUCGAGAACUUUGGGAUCCCCCUGGAUCGAGAACUUUGGGAUCCCCUUGGAUCGAGAACUUUGGGAUCUCCCUUGGAUCGAGAACUUUGGGAUCCCCUUGGAUCGAGAACUUUGGGAUCCCCUUGGAUCGAGAACUUUGGGAUCCCCUUGGAUCGAGAACUCUGGGAUCCCCAGGGAUCGAGAACUCUGGGAUCCCCUCCCCCCUUUUCCCACGGGAAUAUUUAUCCCCCCCUCCCCCAUUAUUUAAAGAAAUCCGGGAAUUCCCCUCCCCCCACGGACAUUUCUGCACUUUAUUCCCGGAUUUGGGAAUUCCAGGAUCCGCCUUUGGGGUUUGUUGGUUUUUUUGGGAUCAUCCCCGUAAAAUUUGGGAAUUUCGGUCUCCCCCCAAAAAAACCCAAAAAAAUUCCCUUUUUUUUUUCCCCCUCCACUUUAAUUUAAACAAAUCCCGGGAAUUUUUUGGGCCAAAAUAAUAAAAAAAAAAAGGAAAAAAAAUCCCUUAAGGAU
Molecule: long non-coding RNA, 1284 nt
Filed under: Cyanistes caeruleus (blue tit)
Lineage: Eukaryota; Metazoa; Chordata; Aves; Passeriformes; Paridae
Description: lncRNA (ENSCCEG00000007176.1)
Source: RNAcentral